Trifolium pratense (red clover) is the source of this 97-nucleotide small nucleolar RNA. RefSeq annotates it as small nucleolar RNA snoR113. NCBI's taxonomy places the organism in Eukaryota, Viridiplantae, Streptophyta, Magnoliopsida, Fabales, Fabaceae. The transcript has a single exon. The record is from RefSeq and is a predicted model, not a curated record.
UGGCAAUGAUGACAAAUGGCCGGUCUUACGGCUGCCAUUUACUUUUUUGGUAGUAGGUUGAUUAUUGAUUUCGUGAAAGUGUCUUCUUCUAAGCCGA